GUUUUAUUGACAUAUUGCUUUAGAUUAAGGAAAACCAAAAAGUAUUAUUGGUACAUAUUUUAUCUGAGGUCGCUGGAGUGGGAGAUAAUGUAGACUAUGGGAGCAUUCAGAUCCCACGCAGCCAACCCCUACAAGAACAACAGAAGAGUAUCUGACACUGACUUCUCCCCCUUUUUCCCUCAGGGCUAUAUCCCAAGGAGACUUGCACACCCCCAAUUUCUUCCCCUUCUUGGCUCGUGGUAUGUUCCAGGAGAGGACUGUAAACCAGUCUGACUUCUCCCACCUUCCCCCCCACCUUCUCAUCCUGUGGUAUUUGCCGGGAGAGAACAGCCACGGGCACCUCUGCGCCUUGUCAGAAGCCUUUCAGCUUCUCUGAACAUUAUUACACAGAUCCAGAGUAUAGGUCCAAAGACCCCUCCUCCAGGAAGCCCGCCCCAAAGAACGUCGCCACCCACGCUCCCCGCCACGGAGACAGCUCCGCGGCUCUGCUCUGUGAGUCUAGAGGCUUCUUUACCCUUGGUAGGGAACAGUUACUCCCCCAACAUGGCGCACCCGACAGGGAAGCGCGACACGGGCGCGGCCAUGUUCCCCGCCUGACGACGCGGCUGUAGGGCACCGAACGCCCCGAAGCACCGAUCCGUAACAUCCCCAUGUUGACUCUGGGCUGAGAGCGGCUUCGAAUGUGGUUUUGCGCGUGUGCAGGACCACGCCCCCUUCGUCCGUCGCCCCAAACCCUCAGAAGGGGCAGUGCUAGGGGUGGUGACCGGAAGCGGCUACGGUUCUCAGCAGUGUUUAAUAGUUGUCCGGAGGAUCUCAGUGCUCUGCGUCCGAGGGAUGUGGAAGAGAUGGGGCCCGGGGAGCGCUUUCCUCUUCUCUCGACGUUAAAGUCCUGAAGUUCACUCUAAAGACCCAGAGGUUCGGUGCAUUAUGUUCUAAGUGUUCCCUGAGAGUUGAUUUUUCUUUUACCCACAGGUUAUUUAGAAGUGCGUUUUUAGUUUCCAAAAGUUUAUCUUUUUGAUAGAUUUCUAGCUUUAGUUUUCUGUGGUCAGAAAAAUGUCUAUGAAGCUCAUUUCUUGAAACAGGAGGAGACUCAUGGCCUAGGCCGUGGUGAAUUUUUAUAAAUGUUCCUUCUUUUAAUAAAAAAUUAUAUUUAGUUGUUUAGUUGUCA
This 1168-nucleotide long non-coding RNA is filed under the name Vulpes vulpes (red fox). RNAcentral's name for it is "lncRNA (ENSVVUG00000017590.1)". The record is from RNAcentral. Lineage: Eukaryota; Metazoa; Chordata; Mammalia; Carnivora; Canidae.